RNAcentral lists this ribosomal RNA (200 nucleotides) under uncultured bacterium. Its description in RNAcentral is "partial 16S ribosomal RNA". It matches the Rfam family "Bacterial small subunit ribosomal RNA", at positions 8 to 204 of the family's 1533-position model. The record is from RNAcentral.
AGAGUUUGAUCCUGGCUCAGGACGAACGCUGGCGGCGUGCCUAAUACAUGCAAGUCGAGCGAAUCUUUAGGAGCUUGCUCCUGAAGAUUAGCGGCGGACGGGUGAGUAACACGUGGGCAACCUGCCUGUAAGACUGGGAUAACUUCGGGAAACCGGAGCUAAUACCGGAUAAUUCUUUUCUCUACAUGAAGAAAAGCUAG